AAAACCAAAAAGAAUUAAAACAACAUCAUGCGAGCUCCAUUUGGUGGAUGUAUCUUAAGUUUGUUUUGAAUAACGGAAAUCCAAGGCUAAUGGGUCGAGUAGUAGCUAGUGAUAGAAAGUUAUGGAGGUCGUGGUCGUGGUGGUAAGGUACUAAAACUAAUGUUUUGAGGCUCUGCUGUGGUGGUAGAUAAAUAGAUAGAUGGGCUAUGAAAUUGCAAAGAUAGAUUAGUAGUAGUACUACUAUUGCUUUACCAUUCUACCAAUUUCUCUCUCUCUCUCUCUCUCUCUCUCUCUCUCUCUGACUCCUCUGUUUUUGCUCUGCUACAAAUGUUUCCUUUAAUUUUUAAUUGGGUUUUUUUUUUUUCUUCUGCUUUAUGGGUCAGGACGCUUUGCUCCAAUCAAUCAACGCACAACCGCCAUUAUUUUUCGCUGUCUUUUUCAUCUCAGGGGGAAGAAAAAGUAGAAAGGCACUGUAGAAGGCGAGGAGGAGAGAGAAAGAGGGUUUUUAUUCUGAAGAGAGAGAGAAAGUGUCAGAAUUUUA
RNAcentral lists this long non-coding RNA (541 nucleotides) under Cucumis sativus (cucumber). Its description in RNAcentral is "long non-coding RNA (CSAT_LNC000371)". The record is from RNAcentral. Lineage: Eukaryota; Viridiplantae; Streptophyta; Magnoliopsida; Cucurbitales; Cucurbitaceae.